This 337-nucleotide long non-coding RNA is filed under the name Brassica napus (rape). Its description in RNAcentral is "long non-coding RNA (BNAP_LNC010349)". Lineage: Eukaryota; Viridiplantae; Streptophyta; Magnoliopsida; Brassicales; Brassicaceae. The record is from RNAcentral.
AAGACAUAACAAAAUAUGUUUUUUUCGAUUAUAAUUGACACACUAGAUAAAUUUUAAAUGAUGUAUGUUGUGUGUAUAUGUGUGUGCGUGUGGAUUGUUUAUUAUAUGUUCAUAGAUAAGUGUGUGUGUAUGUGUGUGUGUUAUAUCAUGGCUUGGUUAGAUUGGCUUGGCUGUACUCUAUAUAAAGUUUUUCUUAAAUAUCAUCAUGACAAGAAACUGGGGACAUUUAAACUUUGUGAUAAUAUCUUCUGUAGUUCUGUCAAUAACAGUUUCCAUAGUUUAUAAAAAAUAAAUAACACAAUAUUUACUGUUAAUUUCCGAUAUCCAUUUUCUUGUC